Molecule: transfer RNA, 65 nt
Filed under: Dipodomys ordii (Ord's kangaroo rat)
Lineage: Eukaryota; Metazoa; Chordata; Mammalia; Rodentia; Heteromyidae
Rfam family: tRNA
About the family: Transfer RNA (tRNA) molecules are approximately 80 nucleotides in length. Their secondary structure includes four short double-helical elements and three loops (D, anti-codon, and T loops).
Source: Rfam by way of RNAcentral
GGUGGCUCAGCAGUAGAGUGCUUGCCUCACAUGCAUGAAAUCCUGGGUUCGAUUCCUCAGCACCA